This is a long non-coding RNA of Triticum aestivum (bread wheat), 806 nucleotides long. RefSeq lists it as uncharacterized. The transcript is spliced from 4 exons. The record is from RefSeq and is a predicted model, not a curated record. NCBI's taxonomy places the organism in Eukaryota, Viridiplantae, Streptophyta, Magnoliopsida, Poales, Poaceae.
CAGAAGGAGAUCGUGGAUCAUAAGCUUGCGGAGCAGAUGGAGGAGCCCAUGGCCCAGCAGCUGGAAGCGGACGUCAAUGCUCAGGUUUAUAACAAGCAGCAACCCUGCGAGCAAAAGCCACUAUCCAUCAAUGAUAAGAAAGAGGAGAUCCACAGGAAGAGAUUUGUAUAAGCUUGCAUACCUGCCUUGGAAGAGAAGAAAUCAGUCCGUGCUAAGUUGAAGGAGUCUGAGAAAAUAGCAAUGCAAAAUGAUCAAGAGAAAACUGCCACUUUGGAGGUACACAAUAAGCUCGUGCCUGGUGGUGCUACUUUGCAUCAGAGUGGCACUUGCUGGACGUCGGGUGGAGGAAAUCCGGUGCUGAUGGACCGCUCGCGCCAGUGUCUGAGCUCUUGGAGCCGCCGGACUCACCGUCGCCAUAUGGAGACGGGUCGAUGGAGGAUGAUGGUGUUGGGGUCAGUGAGUGGAAGGUGGCGCCAAUGAGGAUGUGGAGGAGGACUUGGUUGAGCCGGGUCCGUGAAGAUUCUUUUUUAGAUGGCCGCAUGAUGCAGGAGCAGCAGAGGCGUUGUGUUGAGCCUUGGGUUCUUCUGUCGAUCAGUUAGUACGUGCCCUUGGCGUUGUGUUGAGCCUUGGGUUCUUUCGUCAAUCAGUUAGUACGUGCCCUUGGUCGCCUGCACGCCUCAGGUUCAUCUCGUGUAUCAUGAAGAAACUUCGAUAGUAAAGAGAGCAGAGCUAUUAUGUCAAUAACAGAACCUAGAUAAUUUAAUCCAUGAGCAUUUUCAUGCAUAUGCUUUUAUUGGUGUAUUUGG